AUCACCUGGGGAUCUUGUUAAAAUGCAGAUUCUGAUUCAAUAGGUUUGGUGCGAGCCUGAGAUUCUGCAUUUUUAAUGAACUCCAGUUGAUGCCAA
RNAcentral lists this microRNA precursor (96 nucleotides) under Otolemur garnettii (small-eared galago). Its description in RNAcentral is "mir-544 microRNA precursor family". It matches the Rfam family "mir-544 microRNA precursor family". Lineage: Eukaryota; Metazoa; Chordata; Mammalia; Primates; Galagidae. The record is from Rfam by way of RNAcentral.